This 1192-nucleotide long non-coding RNA is filed under the name Nicotiana benthamiana. RNAcentral describes it as "long non-coding RNA (NBEN_LNC025064)". Lineage: Eukaryota; Viridiplantae; Streptophyta; Magnoliopsida; Solanales; Solanaceae. The record is from RNAcentral.
ACUUCGCACACGUCAAGUUUACCUCAAUGCUUUUUAGAGAUACAGCAUCAGCGAGGGGAAAUUGAACUUGUGAGGAAGUUUGUAACGUGCAUAUCCUUCUUUUACCCAUUAUAAUUUAGCAACAGCUUAGUCCUUCUUUCAGCAGCAGCAGUAGCAUUCAGCAGUAGCAUUCAGCAGCAGCAGUAUUCAGCAGCAGACAGCAGCAGAAAGAUCAGCAGCAGCAGCAGCAGUAGGAUUCAGCAGCAGCAGACAGCAGAAGACAACAAUACAACAACAACAGCAAUAGGAUUCAGAACAGCUCAACAAAAAGAAGAAGAAAGAUCAGCAGCAGCAGCCAGCAGCAUUCAGCAAUACAACAACAGCAAUAGGAUUCAGAACAGCUUAACAAAAAGAAGAAGAAAGAUCAGCAGCAGCAGUAGGAUUCAGCAGCAGCAGACAGCAAUACAACAACAGCAGCAAUAGGAUUCAGAACAGCUCAACAAAAAGAAGAAGAAAGAUAAGCAGCAGCAGACAGCAGACAGCAGACAGCAGCAUUCAGCAAUACAACAACAACGGCAAUAGGAUUGUGUAUUUCAAAAUGCCUACACCAGUGACUCUUUGUCAUUGUGAUUGGUUCACAAAUCUGGCACUUGCAACAAUAUAGUAAUCAGAAAUUGCGUUCUGAUUCAUGGUUACCAAAAAGAAGUAUGAUUGUCCAACAUGUAUGUCUAAGCUAGUAUAAUUUUGCUGCACAGUGUAUGAUCCUUCUGCUUCUGCCAAAAGUAAGUUAUGAUUUUGAAUUCUGAAGUUCAAGCUAGUUGAUAUUCCUACGUUGCUUACAUGAAUCCGGUAGGUUUUGCGUGCAGAAUCCUAAUAUUAGUAUUACAAAACAACAGAGAAAAGAAGUGUAUAAUAGACAAUGUAGUAGCACAAAUGAGGAUUGCAGUUCUAGAUAAAGGCGAAGUCAGGAAUUCUAAUAAGGGGUAGAAUAAUGCAAAAUGGUAAUCCUAGAAACUUCUCUUAUUACAAAGAAUACACACACGUGCACAUACAUGUACGUACAAGUUUGUUUUCACCCUACUUGCACAAUAUAGUUUUUGGACGAAGAGGAUUCAAUUGAACCUCCUUUCUUGCCUUUAGCUCCACCACUGGUCCCAAAUAAUCAUUAAUUUCUACAUACAGAUUCAUUAUUUCGCAGAAUCAUUUAGUUCAU